GAUGAACGCUGGCGGCAUGCCUUACACAUGCAAGUCGAACGGCAGCACGGGAGCAAUCCUGGUGGCGAGUGGCGAACGGGUGAGUAAUAUAUCGGAACGUGCCCAGUCGUGGGGAUAACGUAGCGAAAGCUACGCUAAUACCGCAUACGAUCUAUGGAUGAAAGCGGGGGAUCGCAAGACCUCGCGCGAUUGGAGCGGCCGAUAUCAGAUUAGGUAGUUGGUGAGGUAAAGGCUCACCAAGCCGACGAUCUGUAGCUGGUCUGAGAGGACGACCAGCCACACUGGGACUGAGACACGGCCCAGACUCCUACGGGAGGCAGCAGUGGGGAAUUUUGGACAAUGGGCGCAAGCCUGAUCCAGCAAUGCCGCGUGCAGGAUGAA
RNAcentral lists this ribosomal RNA (381 nucleotides) under uncultured bacterium. RNAcentral describes it as "bacterial SSU rRNA". It matches the Rfam family "Bacterial small subunit ribosomal RNA", at positions 28 to 412 of the family's 1533-position model. The record is from RNAcentral.